This 492-nucleotide ribosomal RNA is filed under the name uncultured bacterium. Its description in RNAcentral is "partial 16S ribosomal RNA". It matches the Rfam family "Bacterial small subunit ribosomal RNA", at positions 29 to 507 of the family's 1533-position model. The record is from RNAcentral.
AGUGAACGCUGGCGGUAGGCCUAACACAUGCAAGUCGAACGGCAGCACAGUAAGAGCUUGCUCUUACGGGUGGCGAGUGGCGGACGGGUGAGGAAUACAUCGGAAUCUACUUUUUCGUGGGGGAUAACGUAGGGAAACUUACGCUAAUACCGCAUACGACCUACGGGUGAACGCAGGGGAUCUUCGGACCUUGCGCGAUUGAAUGAGCCGAUGUCGGAUUAGCUAGUUGGCGGGGUAAAGGCCCACCAAGGCGACGAUCCGUAGCUGGUCUGAGAGGGUGAUCAGCCACACUGGAACUGAGACACGGUCCAGACUCCUACGGGAGGCAGCAGUGGGGAAUAUUGGACAAUGGGCGCAAGCCUGAUCCAGCCAUACCGCGUGGGUGAAGAAGGCCUUCGGGUUGUAAAGCCCUUUUGUUGGGAAAGAAAAGCAGCAGGUUAAUACCCCGCUGUUCUGACGGUACCCAAAGAAUAAGCACCGGCUAACUUCGUG